CUGCUGCGACGACUUCUACAGUUUCUGGGAAGAGAAAGGGUACUGGUCUUGUCGCAAAGAUUGUUGCAAAAGCUCGUAAGAAAUCUUCGAAAGAUUCACCUGCGGCGAAGAAGGUGGCUAAAGCAGUUCAGAUUUUGAAGAAAGCGAGUCCUUUGAAGAAGAAGAAGAAGAAGAAACCAAUUCUGGUUUUGAAGAAAGCAGCAAGUCCAUCAAAGAAGAAAGGGAGUUCGCCGAAGAUCAGUCCUCCCAAGAAAACUACCAUAGCGAAGAAAGCCGCUCCUCCUGUCAAGAAGACCAGAGCAGCAACUCCAGUUAAGAAAGCUGCUGCAGCUCCUAAGAAGUCAAAGAAAGUGGUAGCUGAAAAACCUCCGGCAAAGCGAGCGGGUCCGGCGAGGAAGGUGAAGAAGUGAAGAAGAAGUUCUUGGUUGGCAAAGUUGUUAAUUUUUCAUUUCGAUUUAGGUUUUCUAAUAUCAUUUUUUUCUCUUCAAUUUCUUUCUUGGUUUGGCAAUGAUGACAGACAUUUGUAAUGUGGUUGUAAAUUUGUCAAUCGUUUAGUUAUUAUUAAAGAAGUUAAAAGAAGGAAAAGAAACCUGGAUUGAUUUUUGAAUCUUGGGGUGGAUUGUUUUUACGAUUAUUAUGAUUGUGUGGUAGGAUUUGGAAGAUCUAAGAAUAUUAAAUUUAUCUUAUUAUCUUAAUUUAAUCAAUUAUUUUUAUUUUCUCAAUGUUUAUUAAUUUUUUAUAUAUUUAUUGUUAACUGGUUUUCUGUCAAUGAAUAUUUUGAGAAAUAAAUAAGCUAUAAUUUUGCUACAUUAAAGUCUAAAGAUGUAAUUGAAUGUUGAUUUUAAUUCAGGCCCUUCAUUUUAAUUAAAAUUGCGAUAAAAAUGUAUCAAUCUUAAAUUAAUAUAAUACUUAAAAAUAUAUUAAAUAUACUUUAUUGAAAAUUUGCCACAUUAUUUUUUCUUAAUUGAAAAAAGAAAAACUAACGGCAGCCGGCAGGCCUCCAGGUUUUUUUUAAUUCAAAAAAAAUACGGUGAAAUGAGAAAUGUUCGAUUUAAAAUUUAAUAGUGAAAAAAAAAUAUUUAAAAUCAUUAGGUUUCAGGUGCGGCUCUUUAGAUGGGUCGUAAUUUUUAUCCGACGGUGAUAGUAAUUGCAUGCUUGUUGUCACUAUGAACUUAAUUGGCUGAAACCUAGUUUAUCCAGACGACGGACGAUCCGGAGCACCGCACCAAACGUAGGCCGUAUUUAAAAUAGAUUUUUUGUCGAUUUUUUUAUGAAGAUAAUUAGAUAACUUAAUAAUAAAACUAUAAAAGUUUACAUAAAAAAUAAAAUUGUAUAAGUAAAAUAAGAGUUUUGUUACUAACAAUAGAAACAUAAAAGUCAGGCUUAUCAAAUUAGGUCAGUCAGACAUGUUCGCCCUAAACAUGAUGAUAGAGAGAAUAUAAAAAUAGUUAACUAUUAAUUAACACUAAUGUUACAUGCUCAUUAUAUAUUUUUUGGAAAGUUAGUUGUUAUUAGAAAAUAUAUUCAAAUGUUAAAACUAUAUUGCAGGUAAUAAUAAUUAAAGAUAACGUAGAUAUGCAACCAAAUCAGUGUGUCUUUUGUUAGUGCUUGGAUUGUCGCCAUAGUCGACAGGAAGGUGCUAGUGUUGUCGUUGUAACAAACAAAAUUAUGUGGUAGAAAGAAAACACAAACAUCUUUUUGACGUAGUAAGAUGUCUAUUGUUACAAUCUCAAUUACCCCUUAAAUUCUGGGGGAGACUUUUUUUUUGAAUAAAAAUCGUGAUAAAUAUAUACCCAAAAAAAUGAUACACCACGUGGCAGUGAGCCCCGCUGAACUUGACCUCAUAUAGAGACACGUUCGAAGGCUAUAAUUAAUACAAAUCGUACUAAAAGCAAGACAACUCACACGCUCCCUAAAAAACUCAUAUGUUUAGUCUCAUGUUUCCACACAUCUCUCCCUCUCAUCUCGGUUUCAGAAACCCUUCAAAAAGAUUAAGAUAUGCUUCCAUCCUUCAUGUGCUUGUAUCUACCCGAGGGCUCGACAUUCCCAUGUGACCAUAGUCCAUUGAAGACAUCCUCCUUCCCGGCUCUCCUCCCCGAAAGAAGGCAAGAGUCGAAAUCGUCAACAAUUAACUAAGUCGACUAGUCAGACGUGGGGCAAAUGUAGGGUAGCUACCGCCACCCGUCCACCCCAAAAGAGUUUUGUUCCUCGACCCCUCCUCAGGUAUCUUACCAUACCCAAUUUGGGAUCCGGACCCACUAUUAAGUAACAUCCGUUGGGGGUUAUUUUGGAUACCCCCUCUAUCCCAUACAACAAAUAACAUGUCCUCCAUAGUUGAGUUUUUAGAUUUAAAUCUAGAUCUAUCAUAGACAAUACGUACAUCCACAACUAUACGUCGUGUCAGCUCUGGUGCCGGUUUAAAGAUCCGCUCUCAUGUUUCCUCCGAUUACGCUCACCCCAAAUUGCCCAUGUGGUUGAUCCAAGUAUAGUCCAACACAUGCCCCAUGCAGGUGAUCGUCGUGUUCUCGUGUCUGCCCAGUCCAUAUAUGAUUCGAUCCCUACAUCUGUCGGUGUCAAAAAAUCCCCUACAUGCCUAUGAAUCUGCUUCCAUACAUCUCUGAAAUAACUGCAUCCAAAGUAUAUAUGGUUGAAACUCUCCGGCUCUGUCGUGCACAACCAGCACUGUUUAGGUUGAGGGUACCCUCACCCAAUCAGUUUGUCCUGCAUCGUGAUCCUUCGAAGGUUGACCCUCCACAUCGUUAUAGCAUACUUUUUGAUGCUCGAUGCUCAUAUCCCUAUUACUCUGUCUUCCUUUGGUCUCCUCUCUCUGAUCGUGUCCCACACAUUUCGAAAUGUGAAGCCUGUGCCACUCCCUAUCUAUAUAUAUGCAUAUGUAAUCCUCCCCACAAGUCAUGCUCUUGCUUAUCUUCUGUCUUUUGUCCACAAUCCCAUAAGAAUCUGUAUGUUAGGCUCUGCAACGAUCCCAGCACCUCACUCGGUAACCUAAGGUCAAACACCAAAACAUAAGAUUUUCGGCUAUGCUCCAAUGAAAUAAUUGCAGUCUCCCUGCAUGUGACAGAAGGCAGGCCUUCCAUCUUGCCACCAUGGAAGUGGCCACCUCUACCAAUCUACAACAAUCCCUCGGCCUGAGGAUUGUUGGGCUCAAUGGGAGACCAAGGUAUCUUGUGGGGAAUUUUCCUAUCGGCAUUCCCAGUAUCCCUGCCAGUUGCGAAAUCUGGGGGGUCCCAUGUGAAAAGAACACUUCGCUCUUCACCCUGUUCACUUUUAGUCCUGUACAUGUAGCAAACACAUCAAAUACAUUCAUCACAGAUAAAAACGACUUCCUUUACGUCUUACAGAAAACCAUUAGGUCGUCAGCAAAAAUGAGGCGUGACACAGAUAAUGCUUCUUAAAUCACGUAUCUCUGACUCUCCUUUCUAUCUAUACUCUCCUUGAUGGCUUCCGAGAAAUUCUCCAUGAGUGGAUCUCCUUGUCUCAGCCCUCUACCACUACGGAAGACUCUCGUGGGAGCUCCAUCAACUAAAACUGAAAAAGAUGUCGACUUUACCAUUCUUAUUACUAGUUUAACCCACUCCUCACUGAAUUCAAAGCUUUAGUGUACCCCUCAGUGCCCUCCAAGCCACUGUAUCAUAGGCCUUUGAAAUGUCAACCUUGAUGCAUGCUCGGGCUGCCGAGGCGGCCUGUCCAAACCCAAUUAUCAACUUAGUCGCUAAAGCAUAAUUAUCCCCUAUCAGACGUCCUUUCAAAAAGGCAGUCUGGUUUGGGGCAAUUAUUCUCUGUACUAUCGACAAUAAUCUUGUUGUGAUGAUUUUCGAUAAAACCUUGUAGGUGGUGUUGACACACGAUAUCGGUCUGAAAUCCUCUAGAUCUGAUGCAUUUGCCUUCUUUGGUAUCAACGUCACAAAUGUGUGGUUGACCUCCAAUAGAAGGUUUCCCCCGCAAAGAUGGAUUGAAUGGCACGCACAUGCAAGAUCUGGGGCUAUGACUUCCCAUGAUUCCUAAAAGAACUUAGCGUUGAAACCAUCUGGCCCCGGACUUUUGUUCGGGUUCAAGUGGAAUACCGUAUCUUUUAUCUCUUGGUACUCUAACACAUAAGAUCCAGAUUCUCUCCCGACGUGACCUGUCUCUUGAAAACUCUCCUCGGCCUAAUCAUAGCGUCCCCUCUGUCCCUGAAUAGCUCGGAGAAAUAUGCCACACAUUUCUCCUCCAUAUCUAUCCUUGAAACCAUCAUUUUUCCAUCCCUUCCUAUGAGUUUAUAAAGCGAAUUAUGCGAUUGUCUUUCCCUAGUCAUAGCCGCAAAGAAUUUCGUAUUUUUAUCCCCCAGCUUUAACCAUUGCACUCUACUCCGUUGUCUCAUAUUUUCCUCCUCCGGUUUAAACAGGCCUCUUAGUCUGUCCUGACAUUCACGUAUUCGUACCUAGAUCCCCUCCUUUCGGGGAUCUAAACGAAUUGAAGAUCUACUUCUUCCUUGGCUAGUUGGGAUUGAGUUUUAUCUAGGUCCUUGUUCCCAUCAAGCUUUCAUGCCCAAGGUUUUAGCCCUCUCUUCACUGUCUUAUGUCUCUAGGUGAAUCUGUACAUGGCGUUUCCAUGUACUCUCUUCUUCUCCCAACCCCGUGCUACAACAUCAACAUAUCCUGAUGCCCUGAUCCAUGAAUUUGUGAACCUAAAAGGUUUAACCCUCUGAUCCUGGGGGAGACUUCAUACUUACUAUAACAUACCUCAUUAAUAAAACUCCCUCACCUAUAAUAGAUAACCAAACACCUUACUACAAGUUAUUUGGAAAAGAUGCGAACUAAGACUUCCUUGAAGUUUUUGAAUGUCUUUGCUAUGCAAAUGACAACUCAUCUCUUCUCUUCAAUUUCUCGUCGUCCGGCGAAUAUCUCCUACCGGCUCCGAUGCAGUACUUCCUCACGGCUAAAGAAGGAAGUGCAAUCCUACAUUUUAACAUGGUGUAUGCUGGUAACAAAUCCGGCCAUGCUUCCACAAAAAGAAAUACCGAUGCUUCUCCAGAAGAUAGAGGCGUCUCUUUAGACUCAAGUGCCGCGACGGUGACGUCCCCGUCGAUCAUGCGAUCGCUUCGUCGUAAGUCUCCAUUAUCUGUUAAACAUAGGCAUAAAUCUCAUCAUAAAUCACAUCGUUUUAGCAAGAACAUAAAAUCCGGCCAAGUCUCUGAAAUCAAUGAUCGGGAAUUAGUUUAUAAUCUGAAUUCCGGCGAUCAUAUCCAGGGGCAUUCAUGGUCUCGGAUAAACUUGUUGGUGAGUCCAAUUAUGCCACUUGGGCCAAUGUGAUGAGGUUGUCAUUACUUUCUAGGCAAAAAAUUUCAUUUGUUAAUGACAAAGUGAAGAAACCAGAGGAUGUUAAUGGCAAAGAAUUUGAAGCAUGGGAGACCGUCAAUGGUCUAGUACUAUCUUGGAUAGUGAAUUCUGUUUCUCCUCAGAUAGCUUCCACAUUGAUGUACACUAAUUGGCAAGUACAGUAUAGAAAGAUCUCAAAGAAAGGUAUAACCAAGAAAAUACUCUUAAAGUGAAUCAAAUCAGGUAUGGAUUAUCUUUUUAGUGUUUUAAAUUUUAAAAAUAUGAAUUAUAUAAAUAAUGUGAUAGAUAUUAAUAAAGAGUGAAAUAUAGAUACUGGAGUUUCCCAACACAUGACUGAGAAUCUUCAGUAUUUUGAUAAUCCACUCACUGAAAAGGUGAUCAUUUUGUCACCAUUCCAAGUGGUGAGAUAUGUAGAACAAAAUCCAUAGGAAAAAUAAUACUUUCCAAUAAUAUAAUAUUAGAAGAUGCUCUAUACAUACCACAGUUCAAAGUGAAUAUAAUUUCAGUCAAUAAACUAACCUUGAACAAUAAUCUAAAAAUAUUAUUUGACAAUGAAAAUUGUUAUUUUCAGGGAAACAAAUCAGGGAAAGUGAUUGGAAAGGGUAUAUGUCAAGAUGGACUUUAUCUUUACAACCUUGUUUCUCCUGAAUUUGCAUAUGCUUCCCUAAAUUCCAGAAUCUGGCAUAACAGACUUGGAUCUAUUUAAUCAAAAAUAAAUCUUUUGCUUAUGAAUGCAUAAAGAAAUUCAUCAUAAAAGUUAGAAACUUUUUUUGCAAAAAUAUUAAAGUAAUAAGGAGUGACAAUGGUGGAGAAUUUAAAUCCAAUAAAUUCAAAAAUAUGCUUGAAGAUCUUAGAAUUAUACACCAACUCACAUGCCCUUACAACCUUCAACAAAAUGCAAGGGUUGAAAGAAAACAUAGAUGUCUAUUAAACAUAACUAGAUCUCUACACAUACAAGCUAACAUACCUCUAAAAUAUUGGGAAAAAUGUAUCUUGGCUGCAACCUACAUAAUAGAUUAAAUCCCAUCUAAAAUCCUAGAUAAUAAGACCUCAUUUGAAAUUCUACACAAAGAAAAACCAAAAUAUAAAUUCUUAAAAACAUUUGGGUGUAUGUGUUAUGCAACAAUACACAACAAAGAACAUAAGUUCUCUCCAAAGACUUUUAGGAGAAUUUUUAUGGGAUAUCCUCCCAGUAUAAAAGAAUAUCUAAUACUCUGUUUAGAAAAUCAGAAAUUCUACAUAAGUAGAGAUGUUUUUAAAGAAGAUGUUUUCCCAUUCCAACAAACAACACCUAAAAACCAACAAAACAAAAUAAAUAAUAUUUUUCCAUUGUAAGAAAUAUUCAAUACACAUCAACCCAAGGCAAUAUCAAGUCUGGAAAUAACAGAAAAAAAAUAAAAAUAAAAAUCCAGAUCAGUCUGAAAUUAUUUUGGAAAACAGGCUAGGUAUAAUUGGAAAUAACCAGUUUGGCCAGACCCAAAAUACAAAUGAAAAACAGAGUUUUUCAGAUAAAACCAAUGAAAAUUCAGACUCUGGAAACAUUUUUGAAAACAGACCAGGUAUAACUGGAAAUGCACUGGAAAAAUAGUCUAUAUCAGAUAAAAUUGAUAAAAAUCAAACCGAUAUAGACAAUAUAAACAUACCACAAAAUACACCAAGCUGGAUACCAGAACAGCGAACAACUUUAGCAAACUCAAAAAUACAGAGUAACUUUAAAGAAGCUUCAAUUCAAGGUUCUAACAGUCAAGAUAAUAUGGAAAAACAUGAAAAUAAUCAUGCUAAUAAAAAUCAAGAUCAAAUCACUAAAAAUGAUAAAUAUAAAACUAUAACAACUAAAAAUCCAAAACAAACAAGGUUAGGAAGAUUAAUAACCAAGCUUGGACCAUAACUGAACUUCCCAAAGGAAGGAAGGUAGUAGGAUCCAAGUGUAUAUACAAAAUCAAAUACAAACCAAAUGGAGAGAUUGAGAGAUAUAAAGCAAGGUUAGUAGCCAAAUGCUUCUUUCAAAAAAAAGGUUUGGAUUUUUAUGAAACUUUUGCACCUGUUGCAAAAAUAACAACAAUAAGGAUAUUAAUUGUCUUUGCAACACAAAAAAGAUGGAACAUAUACCAAAUUGAUGUCAAUAAUGCUUUCUUUCAUGGUGAUCUUCAUGAGAAAGUAUACCUAAAUCCACCCCAACGCCUACUCAUAGAAGAAGACAAGAGAGUAUGCAAACUUAACAAAUCUCUAUAUGGCCUUAAACAAGCCUCUAGAAAUUGGUUUGAAAAAUUAAGAAACACCCUACUAAAUUUUGGCUUUAUACAAACCAAAUCAGAUUACUCUCUAUUUAUAAGAGAGAGAAAUAAAAACAUAAUAUACCUAAUUGUCUGUGUGGGUGAUAUUAUCAUUACAGGUAGCAAUGAGAUAGAAAGACCUUGGGAAACUAAACUAUUUUUUAAGAAUAGAAGUAUCAUAUUCUAGUAAAGGAAUCCUAUUAUCUCAAAGGAAAUAUGCACUAAAAAUACUUAAAGAAAGUGGCAUAUCAGGAGCAAAAGAAUUCAAAAUACCAAUGGAAAGAAAUAUAGACCUUAAGAGUACGUGAAUCCAAACACAGAUUGGAAACACAACUUUCUAUAGAAAAUUAGUUGGCAAACUAAUAUAUCUCAAUAUUACCCUGAGUUAUGCAGUUCACUGGCUCAGCCAGUUCAUGAGUGAACCAAAUGAGGUUCAUCUGAAAGCAUUAUUUAAAAUACUAAGAUAUCUAAAGAAUGCACCAGGACAAGGCAUUUUAUACAAAAAUAGUGAAGAUCUAAGCAUUCAUACCUUUUGUGACUCUAAUUGGGCAGGAUGCCAAAUCAGCAGGAAGUCGGUAACUGGCUUCUGCAUUUUAAUUAGAAAUUCAGUCAUAUCCUGGAAAUCCAAGAAGCAAGCAAUAAUAUCAAGAUCCUCAUGUGAGGUUGAAUACAGAGCAAUAGCUCAAACAACCUGUGAGGUAAUAUGGAUUCAUCAGUUAAUUAAAGAAAUGAAAAUCAAAACUAGCUAAUAAUCAAACAACAAUAUACUAUGAUAAUAAAUCAUCAAUCAAUCUAGCUAAUAACCCUAUGUUCUAUGAAAGAACAAAACACAUAGAGAUAGAUUGUCAUUUUAUUAGAGAACUAAUUACCCAAUGAGUGUUUUGUCUUAAGCAAAUUGGAACAAGAUACCAAUUGGCAGAUAUGUUCACUAAACCUAUGGAAGAAAAUGAGAUUACUUCAACCUAUGUCAAGCUUGGAAUCAUAAAUAUUUAUUCCAGAGCUUAAGGAGGGACUAAAGAAGUAAUUAACACUAAUUAAGACUAACUGGACUAAUGUAUAAUUAGAGAAAAUACAGGUAUGCAGGUUUGUCAAGGAAAUAGAAUACAAGGACAAAACUGCAAAUAUUUCAAUAAAUAUCCAGAUGAGCCAAAGAAAUAAAAAAAAGCAAUUGGGUUCGUAUUUGAAUUAGUCCAUUAAAGAUAGCUAAUUGUUAGUUAGUCGUUUGGCUUAAUAACUUUAGUAUUAAUACAAAUCAGUCUAAUUAACAUUAAAUUAAUUCAAUCUGAUUUCAAUUCUCCUAAUACAUAGUUACUACUAAUCAUCUAUAGUAGUAACCAACUGCUAGAAAUUAAGAAUACAAGGAAAACUAAUUUCUUUCCCUUCUCUCCAAUUUCUCGUUGUCCGGCAAACAUCUCUUGCCGGCUUCGGUGCAGCGCUUCCUCACGGCUAAAGAAAGAAGUGCAAUCCCACAUUCUAACAUAACCAACAAUGAAGAAGAGACACAACAUGUACCUAGAGAUUUAAACAGACAUAUCUGAGAAAGAAUCACCCAUUUCAAAAUUAAUAUCAACUCAAAUUUCUCUCACAACAGAAGAUAUUCAUGAGAAAGAAAAUCAAGGAAGAAAGACACAUAACAGACCCAAAUACCUAAAAGACUAUGAAUGCUAUAACAGACCCAAAUUAAUUACCCCAUAACAAAUUACAUUUCUUAUGAAAAAUUCUCUGACAUACACAGAUCAUUCUUGACCAACAUAUCAUCCUAAAAAGACCCAACAUCUUUCACACAAGCCAUCUGGCAAGAAGCAUUGCACAAAGAACUAUCAGCCGACCUUAAAGACACAAUACAUCUUUCACACAAGCCAUCUUUAACGCUCUUGUAUCAAAGAUGAAAACACAUAUAGAAGGGAUUGACUAAACAAAUACCUUUGCUCUUGUAUAAGGAUGACAAUAUAAUUUAAGACAUUGAUAGCUCUUCAUGGAUAUCUAAAUGAGAAAGUCUACGUACAUGAGAUAUCCAUAAGGCAUUAAAAUUAGAAAUAAGGUUAUCAACAACCUGAUGCAAACAAAACAACUCACAUAGGCUAAGACAGACCUUCAGAAUGUGGUUCAACAAACUAAAUGAAUCGAAUCUUUAACUCAAUAGGCGUUCAACAAUGCAAAUCAGAUUAUGCAUUGUUCAUUAGACACAUUGAACAACAAAAAACUAUAAUUUCAAUAUAUGUAGAUGAUCUACUUAUCACAUUGAUUUAUUAAUCUAACUAUAGAAGGAUUUGAUCACUUGUUCUAAUAUCAAAGAUCUAAGAAAAUUAAAUCUCCAGUCCUUGUGUUUGUAAGAUUUAAAAUUGUAAUAAGCUCAAGUCUGUAAACUGUAAUGUAUGAACAGAUAAAAACCAGUCGCUACUGCAAAUGUUUACAUAGAUAUAUUACAAUAGUUAGAAUUGAAUACCAUUGUAAUAGUAAACCAAUCAUUUCUUUUGAAGUUUUUUUGCCAUAGUGAGUAACAGCACUGCAAUUCCUCCCAUGGCAACCCAUCUCCAAUGAAUUCUUGGAUCAUCUUUUACAAUCUCAAUUUCCCUAUUGUGAUUCUUUCGAUUUGAUGAAUUAGAGUGAAAUGCAAGGGAAGAAAUGUGGGUUGAGAAUUUAGUGGCAGUUUGUACCAGCAAUACACUUUUUGAAAGUGAGGUGUUGGAUGUCCUAGCAUGCUGAUAUGCUCUCAUACCGGAUUGCAACUUUUUAACAGAUCCCCACAUGCUAUGACGAACACCAACCUUUACUAUGUCUUUGGGGAUUCCCAUGUCCUCGUAGUGUACAAGUGUUACCUCACAGGCUGACCACUGCCCAUUUUGUUUGGGAGAUUCCACUGUUGAUAGUCAUAUUCAACAGUACAAGUGUUAAUUAUCUUCCAAGUUAGGUAGUUAGAAGAAGAAGAGAUUGGUACGACAGACCUGCUUUGAUGCACCAGCUAGAAAAAUAUUAUUCCACGCGUCUUGGUUUUUCUCGCUUACGCAGUGAUGGAUGAGAUACUCCCUAGAAGUGAAAAACACAAAGGAUGUAUAAGGAAUAAAAUCAUCAGUAGAAGAAUUGGCAACUAGAAUGCGUACAUACCUUUGUUACACAGUAAUAUGACUUGCCAGAUUCCCAUAUCCUUCGACCUAUGAUAUAUUCACGAUCACUGCAGAAGAAUGGGAACUACAGAGAAAAUAAUCACAAUGUUAAUCAUGAAAUUGCUGUAGGUAUGAAUCAAAAAUGAAAUGAGGAAUUAAUUAACUUUUUUUAUCCAAUGAACUAUUGUCUCUCCAGUACGAGGAAAUUCCUCCAAGAUUUUGAAAUGAACAAGCAUGGGAUCCCAUUUUACUCUGAAUUCAUCAUCCCAGAAGAAAUCCCUAACUAGUUCUGGAGUUGCAUCUUCAAAUACUGUUCUGCUACUGAACAUUAUGGGUCCUCCUCCCUUAAAAAGAAUUAAAAAUUAAAAAUCAUGAAAAUCUUAUAAGUUGAAAAUCUCAAAUUGUAAAGAAAAAAAUUCAAAGUUGCAGAAAUAUCGUUACUGUUUAAUGAAGACUCAAGUUGCAGAAACGGCAGCAACGAAGUGCUGCAAAUGACUGCUCGACGAUUCACAUAAUAGAGUCAAGAAAAUGCACCUGAGGUUCGUGUUGCCAGGCUUGGUAGCUCAUGUUGGGGGUCGUCUUUUCCAUCAAAUUAUGCCAAACCCUACAAUUAACUGUUUCAUCUAAAAGAUCCAACAGAUGAUCCAGAUCUUUGGCUGUAACAAUCUCCUCGGCGAUCUCUGAUAACACUUCACCAUCAUUAUCUACGACAACCGCUGGAUCAGAUUCAGUAUUAACACAUCGAAGAUCAUCGGCUUUCCCCUUGUUACCGAAAUUGGUCAAAAAUCUUCGACAAACGGAGAGCGCCGACAGAACAGUGACAACGAACAACCAUAUCCUUCUGGCACCGAACCCUGGAGGGAUGAAGAAACGUAGUUUGUUUCUUAGCCCAAAGAACAGUAUUCCCGUCCAUCGCGGUCUCCACGACCAACCGAUGAUCAUUCCGAUUAUCACCGCCAUCCAAAUCGGAACUGCGCAGAGAAGCAUAUCGACUGCAGUCUCCAUCACAACAGAACUACGCAGGAUCUCCGUAAUGUCGGCAUGUAUUGCUGGCAUCACGAGUACCGUGAUUGCAAAUUUAGGAGUAAAGUGGCAAGAUCAUUUUUCAUAUAUGUGACAAUAAUUGAGAUGAAAAAAAAGAUGUAAAUUUUGAAUUGAAAUUUAAGAAACUUGUCAAAUGCAAAGGCAAGAGUCAGAUUUCAGACUCGACUACGAACAAAAAGAAAUGUAUUACACUUGUAUGACAAUUAUUCAUGCCUUCCACAUCACAACUUAAUUUGAGGCAUGAAUGAAUUGAAGUAAAAACUAAAAGAUGUGAUACAAACAAAGUUUCAGUUGUCUGUGUUCAGAAAAUGUUUCAAAUAACUACAUAAAACCUUAAUUCUCCUUCGGUGAUUCCGCAGUAACAGACUCUACUUCAGCGACAAUGGUAGCUAUACUAUCAAUUACUCCACUACUUUCCUCUCCAGACGAAGCUCCAUUUUCUUUGAUCUUUCCCGGAACGACCGGACGGCUGCUCUUCGCAGCGGUUAUUAGUUCGUUGAACUUUUCAGAUUUUCUCAGAAAUAUCUCGAUCCUAGGCUUGUGAACGAUACGCCCCUUAACUUCGUCUUUCAGAUCAACAGUUGAAGUCUGGAUCUCUGAUCCAAGAAAACAGUAUAGUCGUUAUUUAAUAACAGAAGAAGAAAAUGUGAGAAAAUUCAAAUGAAGACGGUCUUCAUUAUUUCUUACUAUUUUCAGUGGAGAAUCCAUCGUUCUUCAGAAUCUCAGAUAUCACAACAGCAGUACUGAUUGCUGCAUAGAUCAUAACGAUUUUUUUUUAUAAACAAAAUAAAAAUAGAAUUUGGUACGUAAUUGCAUACCUGUGCCCAAAGCGGAGAGCAAGAUCUCAUUAUGACGACGCAUAAGCCUCUGCAGAAUCAGAGAAUGAUAAUAUCAAUCAAACAAAAAAUUAAAAAUUACCAAAAAGAUUACAAUAAAGAAAAGAUCAGAUCCAGAACGAUCGCACGGAAAAACCCCUAUGAAAAUUAAGAUUCAGAUACUACAUUACAUCAAGAUCAAGAUAACAAACUAAAUUCAACCGUAAUCUGAUUCGAUCAAUCAGCAUUUUAUACCUUGGCGAGAUUGACAUAAAAAUACAAAGGUUCCUUCCUAUUCGAAACCUGGAUCUGAUUCUCCUUACGCUGCAGAUCGGUAGCCCCAACUACCGGAACCAGUUUUUGCCUAACGGUGGACUCGUUUGAAAGCACGAUUGCUGUAGACGACUCCAUUUCUCUCUAUUAGAAUUUUCUUUAACCCGAUGCUUCUAUCUCUCUCAAUGGCUCUGUGAAUGAAUGUGGAUGUUAAGAGGAAUUGUGGGUGUUAUAUAUAGGUUUCAGAGAAGGUGGGAAGCGACGGUUCGGGAUCAGACGUGGCAGAGAGAGUUCGGUGAGUCGUUAGGAUUUCAGGUUUCAAAAGAAACUAACUAAAGAAUAUUUGACGGGACUAGAAUUAAUCUCAACCUUUCAUCUCUGUAUCGCUCGAAUCUUAUGCAUCUUAUUAAAAUACGGGUUGUAUUAAAAUAACAGGAAAUCAAAUUAUUUUAAUAGGACUCACUUUGGCUGACGUGUUAUCCGAAUGGAUUUACAGUCAGCAUAAUACGAUGAUAUGGCACUGAAAUUUACUGGAGUCCUGGACCGUCCAGCCAGCAAAUCUUAUAAACUUAUAGUAAAAUAAUGGAAAAUGUUCAGGACUUCCAAGUGUUUAGAUUAGCCUUGUUAAUAUAAAUAUGAUUAAAGACACCAGGGUCCAGUCCAGGUCAUCAUUAGUGUGAGGUGACUCAUCACAUAGUAAGGAAUCGGUAGCAACAUGAGUCAUACGUAUAAGGAGUAAUAAUAUCAAGGGUAUUAUUAUAAAUGUACCAGUAAUGGUAGUUUGAUAAUUUAUCUACAUAUCUAAAUAUGAAACGGCUGUGUUAAUUCUCUUAGCAUUAAACAUUAUUAAAAUUCAGGUAUGAUUGAAUGGAAUCAAUUGUGUUCACAAUAAUGGUAAAUUGGUAAUAUGACACACAUAUAUAUUGAUCGCAAUAAAUUUACAGGUAAAAAUGCAUGGCCACAAUCCACACACACACAAAUGAUAAAGACAAUAGAGAGAUUAUCAACACGCUGCAUUCUUCAUUCUUCACUUUUGUAUCUAAUUAGCUGUUCUUAGUUAUUGUGGCUUCCAAUGCUGUGGCGAGUCGAGGCAGUUUUUAUUUCAUGUGUUGUGCUGGUACUUGGCCUAGUGGAGGCAUUACUGCAACUCUUCCUUCGAGUAAAAUUUGGAGAUUUAGCUCGGGUUGGAGGUACCUGUUAGAUUAUGCAACACCGAAUUAAAAUAUAGAAGGGUUUUUUUUUCACUACAGUAAAUAUUUGAUACAUUGGUCUCGAUGGGAUUCAACCACAACUUCCUGUAUCAAACAUAGACACUUUUACUACUAAGACACCCCAGAGAGUUUAACUGGAGUCCUACCUUCGUUAAACUUGAAGAAGAAGAAAAUCAUAAAACUAUAUCUAUGUAUACAAAUUAAUUACGUACCUUUUUGAGUUCUACCUUUGGGGGUGGCCCCUCAUUGUAAAAACUGGGUAUUGGGUUUGCUUUAAACUUCAUACUUUUCCUUAACUCCUUAAGAGCUGCAUCUUGCUCUUCCUAUAAACAUGGUCGUUAAUAUACAAGUAGAAAGAAUUAAAGCAAUCCAUGGAUUACAAGACAGUGACAAGUAACACAAUGAAAUGAAGCAAUUUUAUUGAGUAUGAAAAAGAAAAGCAUAGAGAAAAUAAAUUCACCUUUAUUCUAGCUUCAAUUCGAGCAUGUUCUGCCUCUAAAGCUUGAUUUUUCUCUUCUAAUUUCGAAUAAAACUGAAAAUUUCACACAUAAAAUAUACAGUGCUUUAGAUCUAAUUGGUGUGUAUUAGUAAAAAUAAGAUUUUUUCAAAAAAUAGAAGAAUUGUUAGUACCUCCUUCCUCUUCUCGGCACGUUUUUUACACCUAAACGUAGGAGCUGAGGGCACAGUGAUCUUAACUUUCCCCGUUCUAAAAGAUGAAGUGUGUCUGCGAGAAGUUAAGAAAUCCCAAGAUAAUUUUCAUGCAUCAAGUGAUACAAUUAAACAGAAUCAUUUUAAUUAUUAAUGAGGAUACGAUAAAGCAACGGAAUGUGUAUCUUCUUCAUCAUGAUGUUUAUGAUCAUUGACUUCACGAAAUUCCUUUAAUAGGUGAGAACUUGCCUGCAAGCUUGCAAGAAAAAUCAGUGCCAUUUUCAUGAAGUGUGACAAAAGUCAGGAUAAUUUUCAAAAGAUUCCACCUGAAUUUUCUUCCACCUAUUUGUUGGCCUUACAUUGUCUGCAUUUGUUGGAAUGCUUGUAGAAUGCUUGUCACCGGAAAGUAAAAUUGUCUGUUGAACCAUGCUACUGUUGCCUUCAUUUCCAGAGUGGAAAGAUCUUGAUGUUGACUUAACAUGGGUCGCUGAUUUUGGAUGAUUAUUUUGUCGAGAAGAUCCAUUGUUUUGUUUUUUGACCGAAGGAUGUGUGUCCAUAUUUUCAUUAUCAAAGACUUCUCCUCGUUCAUUAUUGUCAGAUAGAUCUAGAUGAGCAAUAUUUGGUUUUCUAUUGUUGCUUUCUGAUUUUUCUUCAUUGCCUUCCUUGAUUUGAUUAUUCAAAGAACCGCUAACAUUAUCAUCUGGAUGAGAAGAAUCUGGAAUUCCAUUUGUGCUUUCUGAUUUUUUUUCAUCACCUUUGAUUGGUUUGUUCAAAGAACCACCCACAUUAUCAUCUGGAUGAGAAGAAUCUGGAAUUCCAUUUGUGCUUUCUGAUUUUUUUUCAUCGCCUUUGAUUGGUUUGUUCAAAGAACCACCCACAUUAUCAUCUGGAUGAGAAGAAUCUGGAAUUCCAUUUGUGCUUUCUGAUUUAUUUUCAUCGCCUUUGAUUGGUUUGUUCAAAGAACCACCUACAUUAUCAUCUGGAUGAGAAGAAUCUGGAAUUCCAUUUGUUCUUUCUGAUUUAUUUUCAUCGCCUUUGAUUGGUUUGUUCAAAGAACCACCCACAUUAUCAUCUGGAUGAGAAGAAUCUGGAAUUCCAUUUGUGCUUUCUGAUUUAUUUUCAUCGCCUUUGAUUGGUUUGUUCAAAGAACCACCCACAUUAUCAUCAGAAUUGGCAGAGUCGAUCAGACCACUUGUGAUAUCAAAUUGGACGGAAGGGGAUAUAUUCAUAUCUUCUGCAUUAUUAAUACAAAAAACAUCUUGGUCUUUAUCUUUAUUUUCACCAUUGAAGAUUUCUCCUGAUUCAACACUAUCAAAUGGGUCUGAAUGAACAAAAUCAGUCAUUCCAUUUGUGCCUUCUGAUAUUUUGUUAUUAUCAUUCAUGAUUGGGUUAUUCGGAAAAAAACUAACAUUAUCAUCUGAAUGAGCAGAAUCUGAUAUUCCAUUUGUGCUUUCUGAUUUUUUUUUAUCGCUAUCAGAAACACCCGCAUUAUCAUCUGGAUUGGCAGAGUCGAGCAGUCCACUUGUGAUAUCAAAUUGGAUGGAAGGGGACAUAUUCAUAUCUUCUUCUUUAACACAAAAUUCAUCUUGGUCUUUAUCUUUAUUUUUACCAUCGAAGAUUUCUCCAAAUUCAACACUAACAGAAAGGUCUGAAUGAACAAAAUCGGCCAUUCCAUCGGUGCUUUCUGAUAUUUUGUUAUUACCAUCCUUGAUUGAGUUAUUAAAAAAAAAACUAACAUUAUCACCUGGAUGAGAAGAAUAUGGUGUCCCAUUUGUGCUUUCUGAUCUUUUUUCAUCCUCAUCUUUGAUAGGAUUAUUCAAAGUAACACCCUCAUUUCCAUUUGAAUUGGAAGAAUUUGGCAUUCUGAUUGAGUUAUUUGUAGCACCGUCCUUGAUUACUUUAUCCAAAGAAUCAUUCAGAUCAACACAACCAGACUCCUUUUCUGUAGGCACAUCUAAAACCCCCUUGUCCAUGGUCUGGAUGAAAGAAGAAAUAUAAAUUGAUGCAAUGUGUUGGAAGGUGGAAAUUAAAGUCAUAAAACCUAAAGAAAUCAAAAUAAAUAGGAACCCAAAGAGGAUAGCACAAAUAGCUUUAUAAAACUAAUAUGUCUAUGAGGUAAUUGGUUUUGUUCUCAAUAGGUACCUACUCUCUUCAAUUU
RNAcentral lists this long non-coding RNA (16862 nucleotides) under Zostera marina. RNAcentral describes it as "long non-coding RNA (ZMAR_LNC000799)". Lineage: Eukaryota; Viridiplantae; Streptophyta; Magnoliopsida; Alismatales; Zosteraceae. The record is from RNAcentral.